Molecule: ribosomal RNA, 319 nt
Filed under: uncultured Clostridium sp.
Lineage: Bacteria; Bacillati; Bacillota; Clostridia; Eubacteriales; Clostridiaceae
Description: bacterial SSU rRNA
Rfam family: Bacterial small subunit ribosomal RNA
Source: RNAcentral
UGGGGAGUAUUGGUUCAAUGGAGGAAACUCUGAACCAGCGACGCCGCGUGAGGGAAGAAGGUCUUCGGAUUGUAAACCUUUGUUGACAGGGACGAUACAAGACGGUACCUGUCGAGGAAGCCACGGCUAACUACGUGCCAGCAGCCGCGGUAAUACGUAGGUGGCGAGCGUUAUCCGGAUUUACUGGGUGUAAAGGGUGAGUAGGCGGGCAAACAAGUCAGAUGUGAAAUCUAUGUGCUCAACGCAUAGACUGCGUCUGAAACUGUAUGUCUUGAGUGUCGGAGGGGUAGAUGGAAUUCCCGGUGUAGCGGUGAAAUGC